GCCGUGGGCGCUGGAGAAUUGAGGGGGGCUGCUCCUAGUACGAGAGGACCGGAGUGGACGCAUCACUGGUGUUCGGGUUGUCAUGCCAAUGGCACUGCCCGGUAGCUAAAUGCGGAARAGAUAAGUGCUGAAAGCAUCUAAGCACGAAACUUGCCCCGAGAUGAGUUCUCCCUGAGACUUUAAGUCUCCUGAAGGAACGUUGAAGACGACGACGUUGAUAGGUCGGGUGUGUAAGCGCAGCGAUGCGUUGAGCUAACCGAUACUAAUGAACCGUGAGGCUUAACCUU
This 287-nucleotide ribosomal RNA is filed under the name Enterobacter hormaechei. Its description in RNAcentral is "partial 23S ribosomal RNA". The record is from RNAcentral. Lineage: Bacteria; Pseudomonadati; Pseudomonadota; Gammaproteobacteria; Enterobacterales; Enterobacteriaceae.